Molecule: ribosomal RNA, 253 nt
Filed under: uncultured bacterium
Lineage: Bacteria
Description: partial 16S ribosomal RNA
Rfam family: Bacterial small subunit ribosomal RNA
Source: RNAcentral
UACGUAGGGCGCAAGCGUUGUCCGGAAUUAUUGGGCGUAAAGAGCUCGUAGGCGGUCUGUCGCGUCGGCUGUGAAAUCCCGGAGCUCAACUCCGGGCCUGCAGUCGAUACGGGCAAACUGGAGUGUUGCAGGGGAGACUGGAAUUCCUGGUGUAGCGGUGAAAUGCGCAGAUAUCAGGAGGAACACCGGUGGCGAAGGCGGGUCUCUGGGCAACAACUGACGCUGAGGAGCGAAAGCGUGGGGAGCGAACAGG